This 84-nucleotide small RNA is filed under the name Flavobacterium caeni. RNAcentral's name for it is "Flavo-1 RNA". It matches the Rfam family "Flavo-1 RNA". Lineage: Bacteria; Pseudomonadati; Bacteroidota; Flavobacteriia; Flavobacteriales; Flavobacteriaceae. The record is from Rfam by way of RNAcentral.
CCCUAGCCCGGAUUGCAGCGAAAAUCCUUUUUGAAUGAAGCGCAGCGGAGUUCAAAAAGAUUGCAGCGGAAAGCCGGAAAAGCU